AGUGAACGCUGGCGGUAGGCCUAACACAUGCAAGUCGAACGGCAGCACAGUAAGAGCUUGCUCUUACGGGUGGCGAGUGGCGGACGGGUGAGGAAUACAUCGGAAUCUACUUUUUCGUGGGGGAUAACGUAGGGAAACUUACGCUAAUACCGCAUACGACCUACGGGUGAAAGCAGGGGAUCUUCGGACCUUGCGCGAUUGAAUGAGCCGAUGUCGGAUUAGCUAGUUGGCGGGGUAAAGGCCCACCAAGGCGACGAUCCGUAGCUGGUCUGAGAGGAUGAUCAGCCACACUGGAACUGAGACACGGUCCAGACUCCUACGGGAGGCAGCAGUGGGGAAUAGUGGACAAUGGGCGCAAGCCUGAUCCAGCCAUACCGCGUGGGUGAAGAAGGCCUUCGGGUUGUAGAGCCGGUUUGUUGGGAAAGAAAAGCAGGAGGUUGAGACGGCGCUGUUCUGACGGUACCGAAAGAAUAAGCACCGGCUAACUUCGUG
Molecule: ribosomal RNA, 492 nt
Filed under: uncultured bacterium
Lineage: Bacteria
Description: partial 16S ribosomal RNA
Rfam family: Bacterial small subunit ribosomal RNA
Source: RNAcentral